RNAcentral lists this ribosomal RNA (497 nucleotides) under uncultured bacterium. RNAcentral describes it as "partial 16S ribosomal RNA". It matches the Rfam family "Bacterial small subunit ribosomal RNA", at positions 28 to 507 of the family's 1533-position model. The record is from RNAcentral.
GACGAACGCUGGCGGCGUGCCUAAUACAUGCAAGUUGAGCGCUGAAGGUUGGUACUUGUACCAACUGGAUGAGCAGCGAACGGGUGAGUAACGCGUGGGGAAUCUGCCUUUGAGCGGGGGACAACAUUUGGAAACGAAUGCUAAUACCGCAUAAAAACUUUAAACACAAGUUUUAAGUUUGAAAGAUGCAAUUGCAUCACUCAAAGAUGAUCCCGCGUUGUAUUAGCUAGUUGGUGAGGUAAAGGCUCACCAAGGCGAUGAUACAUAGCCGACCUGAGAGGGUGAUUGGCCACAUUGGGACUGAGACACGGCCCAAACUCCUACGGGAGGCAGCAGUAGGGAAUCUUCGGCAAUGGACGAAAGUCUGACCGAGCAACGCCGCGUGAGUGAAGAAGGUUUUCGGAUCGUAAAACUCUGUUGGUAGAGAAGAACGUUGGUGAGAGUGGAAAGCUCAUCAAGUGACGGUAACUACCCAGAAAGGGACGGCUGACUACGUG